Molecule: long non-coding RNA, 1208 nt
Filed under: Anas platyrhynchos platyrhynchos (common mallard)
Lineage: Eukaryota; Metazoa; Chordata; Aves; Anseriformes; Anatidae
Description: lncRNA (ENSAPLG00000016932.1)
Source: RNAcentral
AAAAACCAAUAAUGACCGCGUUUAUGCAAAAACGUUUCAAAAACGAGAUUAAAAAAGUAAUUACCAAAGCUGGGCCGACGGACAAAUGGGUUUCUUGGUGCAACAGGCGGCAGGAAUCGAUAAUUCCUGGCUGGGUUUGAGGCGAUGGGAGAUAAGGAUGUUUUGCCGUUGGGUUUUGUUGGGAAUUAAAUGCCGCUCCGUGCUGGAGGAAUUAAUUUUCAUUUUCCCUAUGAAGCCGCCCCCCCGGGAGCGCCGGGAGGUCUGGCCUCAGCCCUGCCCGGGGUGGGAGCCUCUGUGGGGGCAGCUCCUGCCUGUGCACACGUGUGUGCAGCCGGAUGUGUGUGCACAUGCAUGUGCUGCAUGAACGUGCACACACUCGUACCCGUGUUUGUGUUUGCAAGCAUAUGCACACGAAUGCUUGCAAACACAGGCUGCAAACACAUUCACACAGGUGCUUGCACGUGUGUAAUUGCAAUACAGGUGUGCAAUACAGGCUUGCAAUACAGGCGUGCAUUUGCAUGUGCUUGCAACUGCUUGCACGUGCUUGCAACCAUUUGCACACACUUUCAGUGCAUGCAUGUUUCAUGGCUGCACACUUGCACAUGCAACACAUGCAUGCUUGCAACACAUGCACAUGCAUUCUUGCAGACUUGCAUACUUGCAACACGUGCAUGCCCGCGCUUGCACAGUUGCAUGCUCUUGCAACACGUGCACACGUGCACACUUGCAACUCAUGCACGUGCAUGCUCACACGCAUGCAACAUGCGCAUGUCUGCACAUUUGCACACUCCUCCACCGCAUGCACAUGCACAGUGCACACACGCAUGUGGCUGCACCCCUGCAUGCCCCCACCCCCCCGCUGUGUGGAGCCUCAGGCCCCCCAUUAGCGGCCGUCCCCUAAUUGCGGCCGUGCCCCCCCGGCCCCGGGCGUUAACUCUGAAGCCUACCGAGGGCGGCCGGGGGGCGUGGCCAGGCGGCGAUGACGCAAGCAGCAGUGGGCGGGGCCUGCUGGUGAUUGGCCGCCGCCGCCUCAUUAUGCUAAUGCCCCGCGCCCGGCCGGGGCCGGCCGGCUGACGUCACCGGGCGGAGGGGAGGAGGGGGGGGGGGAACGAGCGCGGCCGGGCCGAGCCGAGCGGCGCCGAGCGGUUCCGAGCGGUUCCGAGCGGUGCCGAGCGGCGCCGAGCGGGGCGGGCGGGGCGGGGCGCGGC